Orbicella faveolata is the source of this 1323-nucleotide long non-coding RNA. The record is from RefSeq and is a predicted model, not a curated record. Lineage: Eukaryota; Metazoa; Cnidaria; Anthozoa; Scleractinia; Merulinidae.
GAUAGAUAGAUAGAUAGAUAGAUAGAUAGUUGGUGCCAAUUUCCUCCCUUGCAGCCAGAGGCUGUAUUGCGGAGGAACCAGAGAGGUGAGAUCGGACGUCAGCAUAUGAAGGCGCACUAUUGUGGCUUAGGAUGUAAAUUUGCUUCAGGAAGUAACCAAUAACUGGGAAUGUGAUCUAGUUUAUGUGAUUAUAUCUCAACAGAUGGGCGUAUGGUAUUCUACUUUGGGAGAUUUUAACAAUCGGUGGGACGCCAUAUCCUACAAUAAGUAAUCAUAAACUUUUUCGGGCUCUUAAAGCUGGAUACAGAAUGGAGAAACCACAGAUGUGCAGAGAUGAGAUGUAUGAAUUGAUGCGACAGUGUUGGAAAGAAAAACCCACUGAAAGGCCUUCAUUCAGUGUCAUCCGGGAACAAGUUGAACGGAUGAUGCUACACGACUGUCCUUAUUUGGAUAUGGCUGACGCAAACUAUAGUUACGCGCCCCUUUAUGAAACUCUCCGUGACGAAAAGAUGGGACUGGAAACCACAGCUUUGUAACUUAGAUUUAAAGUUGUAUGUAAGAUUUUUCGACGUCAUUAUACGUCUUAUAAAUGUUAACCCUCAGAUUCAAAGGUCAAUUCAUACCUCAUCGUGAUGUGAGGGAGGUCCUCCCCAUGAUUUUUCUUUCUGGACAAAUCAAAUUAGUAGGUACUCUGUUCUUUAAUAACCCUCAACUUGCUUUGAUAUGUUUUAUCAUUUGGCUAUGAUUCAUACGUCAUCUUGGAUCUGCCAUCUUGGAUCCGCCAUUUUAGAAUUCAUCACCCUCGCAGGAGGUCAAUAAAAUGAUAAUAAAAGAUAAAAAAACUACACGCCUAUAGCUCUAUACAAACUGUAUGCCUUGUAAAGAUGCGAUUAAUUCUAUGAUUUUAUCAGUUAUGUUUUUCAUAUAUAAAUAUUGGGUUAGGGUUAGGGUUUGGGUAAUCCUGAUUUUGCUUGCGUACAAAGCGACCUUAAAUUUCACCAUAAUGUUAAAAAAUUUGAGUGUAGCAUUUCUAAUCUUGAUAAAAUCAUUAGCAACUAGAAACUGAUGAAAAAUUAAUUUAUCAAUAAGUGAUGUAAUACACGUAAUGUUGAGAUGUAACAAUAGUAGAUCAUAAUAGAAUAACGUCUUAAAUGCACAGUGUAUUAUUAUUAGUAUUAUUUUUGCAACUUUCCUUUUGUAGUACACUGUAUUUUUUUUUUUAAACUCUACACUGUAUGUGGCCUAGGUUUAAGUAAUAAAGUUGCCACUAAAGGCAAAAAAAUAAAUUAAUAAUUAAAAAAACUUAGCAAAAUAUUACGGCUG